GCGAAAAAUAUCUCAGUUAUUUUUCAUUCAUCAAAUUGUGGACUGCUUCAUAUGGGAUACUGACUGCAUGACCUACUGAUGUAAAAGUGCUGCUUCCGUGGAAGAUGCAGCUUAAAACAACAAGAAAAAGGACUGUUGUUUGCAGCCUCUAGACGUCCCUGCUGCCUCAAAAUGGGCUCAAGCCCUCUCCUGCCAUAUUUUGAACUUUGGAGUGUGCAGAAGAAUGGAAAAAUACGAGUGGUGGGACACAAUGCAAAGUGAAUCUGAGCUGCCCUUAACUUCAGCCUUUGCACUGUGCCAAUACACCUGGAAGAUGCAAUUCAUUCCACCUGGAAUGCUGAUAUUACAAACGCCUAUUUAAACACAGCAGUGUUGGAGGUAACCUCACUUGCCUGGGCACAAGGUUUGAUCAUCUUUUAUGAAUACUGCACCGCUGUUUUAAGAAAAGACAAAU
Molecule: long non-coding RNA, 454 nt
Organism: Tympanuchus pallidicinctus (lesser prairie-chicken)
Lineage: Eukaryota; Metazoa; Chordata; Aves; Galliformes; Phasianidae
Exons: 3
Source: RefSeq, a predicted model, not a curated record